AAAUUGAAGAGUUUGAUCAUGGCUCAGAUUGAACGCUGGCGGCAGGCCUAACACAUGCAAGUCGAACGGUAACAGGAAGCAGCUUGCUGCUUCGCUGACGAGUGGCGGACGGGUGAGUAAUGUCUGGGAAGCUGCCUGAUGGAGGGGGAUAACUACUGGAAACGGUGGCUAAUACCGCAUAACGUCGCAAGACCAAAGAGGGGGACCUUCGGGCCUCUUGCCAUCAGAUGUGCCCAGAUGGGAUUAGCUAG
RNAcentral lists this ribosomal RNA (251 nucleotides) under Salmonella enterica. RNAcentral's name for it is "partial 16S ribosomal RNA". It matches the Rfam family "Bacterial small subunit ribosomal RNA", at positions 1 to 248 of the family's 1533-position model. Lineage: Bacteria; Pseudomonadati; Pseudomonadota; Gammaproteobacteria; Enterobacterales; Enterobacteriaceae. The record is from RNAcentral.